This 301-nucleotide ribosomal RNA is filed under the name uncultured bacterium. Its description in RNAcentral is "partial 16S ribosomal RNA". It matches the Rfam family "Bacterial small subunit ribosomal RNA", at positions 509 to 807 of the family's 1533-position model. The record is from RNAcentral.
CAGCAGCCACGGUAAUACAGAGGGUGCGAGCGUUAAUCGGAUUUACUGGGCGUAAAGCGUGCGUAGGCGGCUUCUUAAGUCGGAUGUGAAAUCCCUGAGCUUAACUUAGGAAUUGCAUUCGAUACUGGGAAGCUAGAGUAUGGGAGAGGAUGGUAGAAUUCCAGGUGUAGCUGUGAAAUGCGUAGAGAUCUGGAGGAAUACCGAUGGCGAAGGCAGCCAUCUGGCCUAAUACUGACGCUGAGGUACGAAAGCAUGGGGAGCAAACAGGAUUAGAGACCCGCGUAGUCCCUGUCUCUUAUAC